RNAcentral lists this ribosomal RNA (429 nucleotides) under Chloroflexota bacterium. RNAcentral describes it as "Chloroflexi bacterium partial 16S ribosomal RNA". It matches the Rfam family "Bacterial small subunit ribosomal RNA", at positions 355 to 776 of the family's 1533-position model. The record is from RNAcentral. Lineage: Bacteria; Bacillati; Chloroflexota.
UGGGGAAUAUUGCACAAUGUGCGCAAGCCUGAUGCAGCCAUGCUGCGUGUGUGAAGAAGGCCUUCGGGUUGUAAAGCACUUUCAGCGGGGAGGAAGGCGAUAAGGUUAAUAACCUUGUCGAUUGACGUUACCCGCAGAAGAAGCACCGGCUAACUCCGUGUCAGCAGCCGCGGUAAUACGGAGGGUGCAAGCGUUAAUCGGAAUUACUGGGCGUAAAGCGCACGCAGGCGGUCUGUCAAGUCGGAUGUGAAAUCCCCGGGCUCAACCUAGGAACUGCAUUCGAAACUGGCAGGCUAGAGUCUUGUAGAGGGGGGUAGAAUUCCAGGUGUAGCGGUGAAAUGCGUAGCGAUCUGGAGGAAUACCGGUGGCGAAGGCGACCCCCUGGACAAAGACUGACGCUCAGGUGCGAAAGCGUGGGGAGCAAACAGG